UACGGAGGAUCCAAGCGUUAUCCGGAUUUAUUGGGUUUAAAGGGUGCGUAGGUGGCCUAUUAAGUCAGGGGUGAAAGACGGUAGCUUAACUAUCGCAGUGCCUUUGAUACUGAUGGGCUUGAAUACACUUGAGGUAGGCGGAAUGUGACAAGUAGCGGUGAGAUGCAUAGAUAUGUCACAGAACACCAAUUGCGAAGGCAGCUUACUAAAGUGUUAUUGACACUGAGGCACGAAAGCGUGGGGAUCAAACAGG
RNAcentral lists this ribosomal RNA (253 nucleotides) under uncultured bacterium. RNAcentral's name for it is "partial 16S ribosomal RNA". It matches the Rfam family "Bacterial small subunit ribosomal RNA", at positions 524 to 776 of the family's 1533-position model. The record is from RNAcentral.